GAUGAACGCUGGCGGCGUGCCUAAUACAUGCAAGUCGAGCGAACAGACGAGGAGCUUGCUUCUCUGACGUUAGCGGCGGACGGGUGAGUAACACGUGGAUAACCUACCUAUAAGACUGGGAUAACUUCGGGAAACCGGAGCUAAUACCGGAUAAUAUUUUGAACCGCAUGGUUCAAUAGUGAAAGACGGUCUUGCUGUCACUUAUAGAUGGAUCCGCGCUGCAUUAGCUAGUUGGUAAGGUAACGGCUUACCAAGGCAACGAUGCGUAGCCGACCUGAGAGGGUGAUCGGCCACACUGGAACUGAGACACGGUCCAGACUCCUACGGGAGGCAGCAGUAGGGAAUCGUCCGCAAUGGGCGAAAGCCUGACGGAGCAACGCCGCGUGAGUGAUGAAGGUCUUCGGAUCGUAAAACUCUGUUAUUAGGGAAGAACAUAUGUGUAAGUAACUGUGCACAUCUUGACGGUACCUAAUCAGAAAGCCACGGCUAACUACGUG
Molecule: ribosomal RNA, 497 nt
Filed under: uncultured bacterium
Lineage: Bacteria
Description: partial 16S ribosomal RNA
Rfam family: Bacterial small subunit ribosomal RNA
Source: RNAcentral